Molecule: ribosomal RNA, 497 nt
Filed under: uncultured bacterium
Lineage: Bacteria
Description: partial 16S ribosomal RNA
Rfam family: Bacterial small subunit ribosomal RNA
Source: RNAcentral
GAUGAACGCUGGCGGUGUGCCUAAUACAUGCAAGUCGAGCGAACAGACGAGGAGCUUACUCCUCUGACGUUAGCGGCGGACGGGUGAGUAACACGUGGAUAACCUACCUAUAAGACUGGGAUAACUUCGGGAAACCGGAGCUAAUACCGGAUAACAUGUUGAACCGCAUGGUUCAACAGUGAAAGACGGUCUUGCUGUCACUUAUAGAUGGAUCCGCGUCGCAUUAGCUAGUUGGUAAGGUAACGGCUUACCAGGGCAACGAUGCGUAGCCGACCUGAGAGGGUGAUCGGCCACACUGGAACUGAGACACGGUCCAGACUCCUACGGGAGGCAGCAGUAGGGAAUCUUCCGCAAUGGGCGAAAGCCUGACGGAGCAACGCCGCGUGAGUGAAGAAGAUCUUCGGAUCGUAAAACUCUGUUAUUAGGGAAGAACAAAUGUGUAAGUAACUAUGCACGUCUUGACGGUACCUAAUCAGAAAGCCACGGCUAACUACGUG